GACGCAGAAGCCUGAAAAGGAAGAGGGUUUUGGCAACAUUGAAAGUUGAGCGGUUGUUGAACAGCUCAGUAAGGAAGUAUCCCCAGAAGAUGCAGACAAAUUAAUUCCUGAAGAGUUGAAAAGGGUUAUGAAAUGAGAUGCUCCAAUGUCAGAGGAUCUAGUUGCUGAUAACAUUGUACCACUGGAUUCUCCAUCUUCAACAAGUAUAAUUGUUUCUUUUCCUGAGCAUUCAGAUACCACAGUGGAUUGCCAAAGUUGCCUAAUACCUUCUCUGUGCCAGCAACAAGGACUGCAGACGUACUAGAUUUUUUGCAGUAUGUAUUUGGAUUUCAGGGGCUGACUAUCCUUGCUUUCAACAAAAGGAAGUUCAAUUCAAAGACCUUAAAUGAGCUAGUGUAUGGACAUUGUCAUGAUGUAUGGGGCACAUUCAACAACUCGUCGUUUAGCUGUGAUGAGAAUUGUUCUCCGUUUUCUUUGGUUUGGUGUUGCUUCAGCAUUUGUGUCAUAUCUUUAUGUGAAGGGACUUCCAAAUCCAAAGUCUGUUUUCUACAAGACCUACAUCUUUGUUCUAAUUGCAUAUGCAAGUGUCCAGCUGGCCUUUAGCCUACUCAUGCGCAUUCCAGCCUGUCAUAGGCUGACAAACCGAUGUGAUCAAUGGCUUGUUAGGAGAUUUAUCAAGUGGAUGCAUCAGGAAAGCCAUUAUGUUGGAUGAGGAAUGUAUGAGCGAACAACUGACUUUAUCAAAUCUUCAGUAUGUGGAUGAAGGGAAGACACCCUUGAUCUUGUUUUGUGCUACUGUUGGUGGAGACUUAGGCCUGCACAGAUGGUGUAGGCAUACGUGAGAAAGCUAAUAGGAAGACUGCUACCAUCCAGAUCUAAUAAGCCAAAAGAACAGCUUCUGCUAAUAAAUGGGAGGACAGAAGAUGAAGUUGCAAGGAGCUUGGAAAGGGUGUUGCUUACAAUGCGAAUAAGCACCUCAGAGCCUAAGGUUUUGAGGAGUGCUUUCAAAAAGAUGCACAUCUAUGUUCAUCAGGUUAUUCGUAUGAAUGGAAUGAGUAGUAUAUACCAUGUUGCAUGGAUACUUAUGUUACAUUGGUUUGAAACACAGUCUUGAGGUUCUUGGAGUUGCUGCAAUAGAAGACCGCCUGCAGGAAGGUGUUCCUGAAACAAUCGAUCUGCUUCGUGAGGCUGGAAUCAACUUUUGGAUGCUUACUGGUGAUAAACAAAAUACAGCCAUUCAGAUAGCGCUCUCUUGCAGCCUAAUUUCUCUUG
Long non-coding RNA from Nymphaea colorata (pocket water lily), 1272 nucleotides. RefSeq lists it as uncharacterized. The record is from RefSeq and is a predicted model, not a curated record. Lineage: Eukaryota; Viridiplantae; Streptophyta; Magnoliopsida; Nymphaeales; Nymphaeaceae. The transcript is spliced from 12 exons.